This 86-nucleotide transfer RNA is filed under the name Treponema sp. RNAcentral's name for it is "tRNA-Ser". It matches the Rfam family "tRNA". Rfam says of the family: Transfer RNA (tRNA) molecules are approximately 80 nucleotides in length. Their secondary structure includes four short double-helical elements and three loops (D, anti-codon, and T loops). Further hydrogen bonds mediate the characteristic L-shaped molecular structure. tRNAs have two regions of fundamental functional importance: the anti-codon, which is responsible for specific mRNA codon recognition, and the 3' end, to which the tRNAs corresponding amino acid is attached (by aminoacyl-tRNA synthetases). tRNAs cope with the degeneracy of the genetic code in two manners: having more than one tRNA (with a specific anti-codon) for a particular amino acid; and 'wobble' base-pairing, i.e. permitting non-standard base-pairing at the 3rd anti-codon position. Lineage: Bacteria; Pseudomonadati; Spirochaetota; Spirochaetia; Treponematales; Treponemataceae. RNAcentral also lists the same sequence under 2 other names. The record is from RNAcentral.
GGAGCGAUACCAAAGCGGUCGUACUGGGGCGGUCUUGAAAACCGUUGUAGCGCAAGUUACCGGGGGUUCGAAUCCCUCUCGCUCCG